GUACACGCUGUGACUAGCAUAUCAAUAAGCGGAGGAAAAGAAACUAACAAGGAUUCCCUUAGUAACGGCGAGUGAAGCGGGAAGAGCUCAAAUUUGAAAUCUUCAAGGUUUUACCUUGACGAAUUGUAGUUUAAAGAAGUGUUUUCUGCUGAAGUUUUGGUAAAAGUUCUUUGGAAUAGGACAUCAUAGAGGGUGAGAAUCCCGUAUUUGACCAUUAUUUUCAGCUUUGUGAUACACUUUCAAAGAGUCGGAUUGUUUGGGAAUGCAGUCCAAAAUGGGUGGUAAAUUUCAUCUAAAGCUAAAUAUUGGCGAGAGACCGAUAGCGAACAAGUACCGUGAGGGAAAGAUGAAAAGAACUUUGAAAAGAGAGUUAAACAGUACGUGAAAUUGUCAAAAGGGAAGCGUUUGACACCAGUGUUGUUUUCUCGAAAAUCAAUUAAAAAUGGCUCGAUUUUGUAUUGUUUGAGACCUUAAAAGCUCACUGUACAUUUUUCGUGUCUUUUUUAAUGCACUUUUCGUUUAACAAGUCAACAUCAGUUUCUUUUGUUGUAAAAGGGUCAUUGGAAGGUGGCUUUCUUUUCGGAGAAAGUGUUUAUAGCCUUUGGCCUCUGCAAUCGAAGAGACUGAGGUCUGCAGCGUAGACUCUUCGGGGUUAGAUACAUCUGUGCUAAGUUAUAGCUUUUUAUAGACAACUUGUUGACUAUAAUUAGUCUUGUAGCUUACUCGCUUACGCUAUUUUACCUACGCUUAGGAUGUUGAUCUACAGAGCGAGAGU
This 775-nucleotide ribosomal RNA is filed under the name uncultured Neocallimastigales. RNAcentral's name for it is "partial large subunit ribosomal RNA". It matches the Rfam family "Eukaryotic large subunit ribosomal RNA", at positions 22 to 635 of the family's 3401-position model. Lineage: Eukaryota; Fungi; Neocallimastigomycota; Neocallimastigomycetes; Neocallimastigales. The record is from RNAcentral.